UUAGGGGAGGAAAGAUGGGGAACUAUGCAGGGAGAAGCCCAGCACUGAAGCCCGUAGUCUAUAAUGGUUACAGGGCAAUGUAGUGUAUAGGAGAGCUCGCUUAACCCAAAUAUUUAAUUAGCGCGUCCAAGUCCUUCUUGAAGGGGGCCAAUAACCCAUAGAGGGUGCCAGGCCCGUUGUGACCGUUAGUUUAUUUGGGUGAGUUUCUCCUUAGAGUCGAGUUGCUUGAGAGUGCAGCUCUAAGUGGGUGGUAAACUCCAUCUAAGGCUAAAUAUAACCACGAGACCGAUAGCGAACAAGUACCGGGAGGGAAAGUUGAAAAGAACUUUGAAGAGAGAGUUCAAUAGUACGUGAAACCGUUUAGGGGUAAACCUGAGAAACCCGAAUAUUCGAAAAAGGAGAUUCAAUUACUUUGCUAAUGUUGGACAAUAUAUUGUACGAAAAUCGAUGGUAUAUUUAUAGUUUCGGCUAUAUUAUAUACUAUCUUUGCUUCUCUUUAUAUUGUUUAAAUCCAAUAUUGGAAGUAUGCACUUCUCCUUUAGUAGAUCGUCGUGACCCGUUAAGUUGUUAUUUACGGCCUAAUUGGUAUUUAGACCAAAAAAUUAAUUUUUUGGACCAAUAUAGUGUCCCAAUAACAACAUGACGGUAGAAAUGUAAAAGUAAAUGGGUCGCUUUAGCGAGCGUUAUGGUUUUAUAGCAAGUAUAUAUAUGAAAAGUGGAUGUCCGGACUUUAUUGUCCCGUUCCCACACAUAUAUUGUACUGUUAGCUAUUUAAUCCUCUAACCGAUUCCAAGUUUACUAGUCAACGACGUUUAGUUUUGGGUACUUUCAGGACCCGUCUUGAAACACGGACCAAGGAGUCUAGCAUGUGCGCGAGUCAUUGGGAUUUUAUAAACCUAAAGGCGUAAUGAAAGUGAAUGUUUGUUGUGUUAUAAAUUAAGGGAAGAUGGGCUUCUAUCACGAUAUUGGCCCCGCAUUCCCGGGGCGUCGUGAACUCAUUGCGAGUUGCGGCGCGCUA
RNAcentral lists this ribosomal RNA (1018 nucleotides) under Tasmanitachoides fitzroyi. Its description in RNAcentral is "eukaryotic LSU rRNA". It matches the Rfam family "Eukaryotic large subunit ribosomal RNA", at positions 47 to 796 of the family's 3401-position model. The record is from RNAcentral. Lineage: Eukaryota; Metazoa; Arthropoda; Insecta; Coleoptera; Carabidae.